This 602-nucleotide long non-coding RNA is filed under the name Medicago truncatula (barrel medic). RNAcentral describes it as "lncRNA gene16727". The record is from RNAcentral. Lineage: Eukaryota; Viridiplantae; Streptophyta; Magnoliopsida; Fabales; Fabaceae.
AUGUUCUCUUUUCAUUUAGUUAAAAAUUUAAAAUAUACCUUUUUUUUUUUGAAGGAAAGUAUUAUACUAUAUAUUAUUAUUAAUAUUUAAUUAUUAACUUCUUAAUAAAAAAUUAUUGUUGAUUCAUUCUCUAUAUGUCAAAAUAAAUAAGAAACCGCAUGCUUUCUUUUUAUGAAGGGAAGCAGCAUGUUCUUUACUAGCUAAUAGUCCACAUCGGAGGAUUUGCUAGCAUAGACGGGUAAGGUACAUUAUAAAUAAACCUUCAACAAAAUUUCAAGGCACAGCUAACCAUUCUGCUUAGAAUCGAUGGAUUCAGUGUCAUUUCACUAUUUCCAAUGUGAUUUGCACUUUUAAGUGUGAUUUACACUUUUAAUUUCCUGUUUUCUGCGAACUCUGAGUAAAUUCAGAGGGAGCCGGUUCGCAAAAGAACUGCGAAUUGGUUUGCACGAACCGGUUUGUGGUUCAGUGAGUUCUGAGCGAAUUAUGUUACUGUGGUUAAAAGACUUUCUUUUUUGUUGUAGUUUUUAUGGGUUGUGUUCUUGGUUGCAUAUGUAUCGUACCUCUUAGAUGUAAUCUUUUCUCUUCGAUAAAUAUUAAAGUGU